AUUGAACGCUGGCGGCAUGCCUUACACAUGCAAGUCGAACGGUAGAGGAGCAAUCCUCGAGAGUGGCGAACGGGUGAGUAAUGCAUCGGAACGUGCCCAGUAAUGGGGGAUAGCCCGGCGAAAGCCGGAUUAAUACCGCAUACGACCUAAGGGUGAAAGAGGGGGACCGCAAGACCUCUCGUUAUUGUAGCGGCCGAUGUCAGAUUAGGUAGUUGGUGGGGUAAACGCCUACCAAGCCAACGAUCUGUAGCUGGUCUGAGAGGACGACCAGCCACACUGGGACUGAGACACGGCCCAGACUCCUACGGGAGGCAGCAGUGGGGAAUUUUGGACAAUGGGCGCAAGCCUGAUCCAGCCAUGCCGCGUGCGGGAAGAAGGCCUUCGGGUUGUAAACCGCUUUUGUCAGGGAAGAAAUCUUCUGGGUUAAUACCUCGGGAGGAUGACGGUACCUGAAGAAUAAGCACCGGCUAACUACGUGCCAGCAGCCGCGGUAA
RNAcentral lists this ribosomal RNA (494 nucleotides) under uncultured bacterium. Its description in RNAcentral is "partial 16S ribosomal RNA". It matches the Rfam family "Bacterial small subunit ribosomal RNA", at positions 30 to 523 of the family's 1533-position model. The record is from RNAcentral.